Molecule: ribosomal RNA, 388 nt
Filed under: Pyramimonadales sp.
Lineage: Eukaryota; Viridiplantae; Chlorophyta; Pyramimonadophyceae; Pyramimonadales
Description: partial small subunit ribosomal RNA
Rfam family: Eukaryotic small subunit ribosomal RNA
Source: RNAcentral
UUCCAGCUCCAAUAGCGUAUAUUUAAGUUGUUGCAGUUAAAAAGCUCGUAGUUGGAUUUCGGGUGAGGAUGACCGGUCUGCCGUUGCGGUACGCACUGGACGUUUUCAUCUUGUUGUCGGGGACGCGCUUCUGGGCUUCACUGUUCGGGACGCGGAGUCGGCGCUGUUACUUUGAAAAAAUUAGAGUGUUCAAAGCAGGCAAUCGCUCUGAAUACAUUAGCAUGGAAUAACGCUAUAGGACUCUGGUCCUAUUGUGUUGGUCUUCGGGACCGGAGUAAUGAUUAAGAGGGACAGUUGGGGGCAUUCGUAUUUCAUUGUCAGAGGUGAAAUUCUUGGAUUUAUGAAAGACGAACUUCUGCGAAAGCAUUUGCCAAGGAUGUUUUCAUCG